UUAAUCAAGAACGAAAGUUAGAGGUUCGAAGGCGAUCAGAUACCGCCCUAGUUCUAACCGUAAACUAUGCCUACUAGGUGUAUGAAUUAUUAGUUAUAAUAAUUUAUGCACCUUCUCGGAAACGAAAGUCUUUCGGUUCCGGGGGAAGUAUGGUUGCAAAGCUGAAACUUAAAGGAAUUGACGGAAGGGCACCACCAGGAGUGGAGCCUGCGGCUUAAUUUGACUCAACACGGGAAAACUCACCCGGGCCGGACACUAUAAGGAUUGACAGAUUGAUAGCUCUUUCAUGAUUUAGUGGUUGGUGGUGCAUGGCCGUUCUUAGUUCGUGGAUAUGAUUUGUCUGGUUGAUUCCGAUAACGAGCGAGACUUUUAUGUUAUAUUAAAUAAUAUUAUUUAUAAAUUUUAUAUUUUAUAUAAUAUUUUAUUUUAAUAACAGAUUAAUAGUGUUUAACUAUUUGAGAGAGAGCAAUAACAGGUCUGUGAUGCCCUUAGAUGUCCGGGGCUGCACG
RNAcentral lists this ribosomal RNA (509 nucleotides) under Strongyloides fuelleborni. RNAcentral describes it as "SSU rRNA". It matches the Rfam family "Eukaryotic small subunit ribosomal RNA", at positions 973 to 1493 of the family's 1831-position model. Lineage: Eukaryota; Metazoa; Nematoda; Chromadorea; Rhabditida; Strongyloididae. The record is from RNAcentral.